UGGGGAAUCUUGCGCAAUGGGCGAAAGCCUGACGCAGCAACGCCGCGUGGGGGAUGAAUGCCUUCGGGUUGUAAACCCCUUUCAGCAGGAACGAAAUUGACGGUACCUGCAGAAGAAGCCCCGGCCAACUACGUGCCAGCAGCCGCGGUAAUACGUAGGGGGCGAGCGUUGUCCGGAUUUAUUGGGCGUAAAGAGCUCGUAGGCGGCUUGGCAAGUCGGGUGUGAAAACUUCAGGCUCAACCUGGAGAUUGCACUCGAUACUGCUAUGGCUAGAGUCCGGUAGGGGACCACGGAAUUCCUGGUGUAGCGGUGAAAUGCGCAGAUAUCAGGAGGAACACCGGUGGCGAAGGCGGUGGUCUGGGCCGGCACUGACGCUGAGGAGCGAAAGCGUGGGGAGCAAACAGG
RNAcentral lists this ribosomal RNA (405 nucleotides) under uncultured bacterium. RNAcentral describes it as "bacterial SSU rRNA". It matches the Rfam family "Bacterial small subunit ribosomal RNA", at positions 355 to 776 of the family's 1533-position model. The record is from RNAcentral.